RNAcentral lists this ribosomal RNA (506 nucleotides) under uncultured bacterium. RNAcentral's name for it is "partial 16S ribosomal RNA". It matches the Rfam family "Bacterial small subunit ribosomal RNA", at positions 29 to 523 of the family's 1533-position model. The record is from RNAcentral.
AGUGAACGCUGGCGGUAGGCCUAACACAUGCAAGUCGAACGGCAGCACAGGAGAGCUUGCUCUCUGGGUGGCGAGUGGCGGACGGGUGAGGAAUACAUCGGAAUCUACCUUUUCGUGGGGGAUAACGUAGGGAAAAUUACGCUAAUACCGCAUACGACCUACGGGUGAAAGUGGGGGACCGCAAGGCCUCCCGCGAUUAGAUCAGCCGAUGUCCGAUUAGCUCGUUGGCGGGGUAAUGGCCCACCAAGGCGACGAUCGGUAGCUGGUCUGAGAGGAUGAUCAGCCACACUGGAACUGAGACACGGUCCAGACUCCUACGGGAGGCAGCAGUGGGGAAUAUUGGACGAUGGGCGCAAGCCUGAUCCAGCCAUACCGCGUGGGUGAAGAAGGCCUUCGGGUUGUAAAGCCCUUUUGUUGGGAAAGAAAUCCUGUCGAUUAAUACUCGGUGGGGAUGACGGUACUCAAAGAAUAAGCACCGGCUAACUUCGUGCCAGCAGCCGCAGUAA